This 465-nucleotide ribosomal RNA is filed under the name uncultured bacterium. Its description in RNAcentral is "partial 16S ribosomal RNA". It matches the Rfam family "Bacterial small subunit ribosomal RNA", at positions 28 to 507 of the family's 1533-position model. The record is from RNAcentral.
GACGAACGCUGGCGGCGUGCUUAACACAUGCAAGUCGAACGGAAAGGCCCUGCUUGCCGGGUACUCGAGUGGCGAACGGGUGAGUAACACGUGGGUGAUCUGCCCUGCACUUCGGGAUAAGCCUGGGAAACUGGGUCUAAUACCGGAUAGGAGCCAUUUUUAGUGUGAUGGUUGGAAAGUUUUUUCGGUGUAGGAUGAGCUCGCGGCCUAUCAGCUUGUUGGUGGGGUAAUGGCCUACCAAGGCGGCGACGGGUAGCCGGCCUGAGAGGGUGGACGGCCACAUUGGGACUGAGAUACGGCCCAGACUCCUACGGGAGGCAGCAGGGGGGAAUAUUGCACAAUGGGCGCAAGCCUGAUGCAGCGACGCCGCGUGGGGGAGGACGGCCUUCGGGUUGUAAACUCCUUUCGCUAGGGACGAAGCUUUUUGUGACGGUACCUAGAUAAGAAGCACCGGCUAACUACGUG